UAAUACCCUAUAGGUUACAGAUGCUGGAAUGCUCUGUAAUCAAAAGUUCCGGCGCCCUAGGAUGGAUCUGCGGCCGAUUAGGUUGUUGUUGGGGUAAUGGCCCAACAAGCCAGUAAUCGGUACGGGUUGUGGGAGCAAGAGCCCGGAGUUGGAUUCUGAGACACGAAUCCAGGCCCUACGGGGCGCAGCAGGCGCGAAAACUUUACAAUGCGGGCAACCGUGAUAAGGGAACCUCGAGUGCCUGUAAAUGCAGACUGUUCAGAUGCCUAAAACACGUCUGGAGAAAGGGCCGGGCAAGACCGGUGCCAGCCGCCGCGGUAAUACCGGCGGCUCGAGUGGUGGCCACUUUUAUUGGGCUUAAAGCGUUCGUAGCUGGGUUGUUAAGUCUCUUGGGAAAUCUGGCGGCUUAACCGUCAGGCGUCUAAGGGAUACUGGCAAUCUUGGAACCGGGAGAGGUGAGGGGUACUUCGGGGGUAGGAGUGAAAUCCUGUAAUCCUCGAGGGACCACCUGUGGCGAAGGCGCCUCACCAGAACGGCUUCGACAGUGAGGGACGAAAGCUGGGGGAGCAAACCGGAUUAGAUACCCGGGUAGUCCCAGCCGUAAACUAUGCGCGUUAGGUGUAU
RNAcentral lists this ribosomal RNA (624 nucleotides) under uncultured archaeon. RNAcentral's name for it is "bacterial SSU rRNA". It matches the Rfam family "Archaeal small subunit ribosomal RNA", at positions 147 to 776 of the family's 1478-position model. The record is from RNAcentral.